GACGAACGCUGGCGGCGUGCUUAACACAUGCAAGUCGAGCGGUAAGGCUCCUUCGGGAGUACACGAGCGGCGAACGGGUGAGUAACACGUGAGUAAUCUGCCCUUCACUUCGGGAUAACCACCGGAAACGGUGGCUAAUACCGAAUACGACCAGUCUUCGCAUGAGGUGCUGGUGGAAAGUCUUUUCGGUGAAGGAUGUGCUCGCGGCCUAUCAGCUUGUUGGUGGGGUAAUGGCCUACCAAGGCUUCGACGGGUAGCCGGCCUGAGAGGGUGACCGGCCACACUGGGACUGAGACACGGCCCAGACUCCUACGGGAGACAGCAGUGGGGAAUAUUGGACAAUGGGCGAAAGCCUGAUCCAGCAACGCCGCGUGAGGGAUGACGGCCUUCGGGUUGUAAACCUCUUUCAGUACCGACGAAGCGCCCUGUCGGGUGGUGACGGUAGGUACAGAAGAAGGACCGGCCAACUACGUG
This 474-nucleotide ribosomal RNA is filed under the name uncultured bacterium. Its description in RNAcentral is "partial 16S ribosomal RNA". It matches the Rfam family "Bacterial small subunit ribosomal RNA", at positions 28 to 507 of the family's 1533-position model. The record is from RNAcentral.